CUUUACCCAGGAUGCCAAGCAAAUGGUCGAGUAUGUAUGUAUAACUUAUAUGUUUUUAUUAUUACAUGCUUCCAAUUACUAAUUUAAUAUGAUUAAGGCUUUCUUCUUAAGUUGUUCUUUUCUAACUGUGUUCCCAAUGGACACAUUGCUGUGAAUGUAUCUGGAACUACACAAGUAGAAAGGCCAGAGUAUUUUGACCAAAACCUGGUAGGUGGCAAUAAGCAAAGUUGCCUCAGUUUUGUUACCUUUAUUAACAGGCAGAAGCAAUACUUGCUAAAAGCAGAUACCUUACUGGUAACACCCUAACAGAUGCAGAUGUGCGGUUAUUUGCAACAUUGGUCAGAUUCGAUACAAUUUAUCAUGGCUUAUUUAAGUGCAACAAGAAAAGGAUAAUGGACUACCCAAAUUUAUGGGACUAUGCACGAGACAUUUACCAACAUGAUGGUAUUGGCAAAUCCACAGUAGAUAUGGAAUAUUCUAAAAUUUCGUAUAUGAAAGGUAUGCUGCAUAUAAAUCCACAUGGAAUUGUUUCAGCUGGUCCACAUGUUGAUUUUGACAUUCCACAUGACAGAAAGAAAACUUUCCCUGGAUAGAGGGAAUAUUGCUUCACAAGCUGCGCAACAACAGAUGCCAUAAAAAGUGCUUUUAAAAUUCUCUAGCAGACCAUAAUGCUUAACGUACACAUUACUACAAUUUUUAUGCAGAAAUUUUUAACACCACAUAUGCAGAAACGCUUUAAUUAUUUUUAAUAAGUAAGAAAUAUAUAAUUUGCAAAGUCUGACCUAAAUGGUACUGAAAAUCAAUGGUAUUUAAAAAUUUUGAAGUCAGAGUCAGAGCUGAAAAAAAAAUUCUUUUUAAA
This is a non-coding RNA of Rhopilema esculentum, 859 nucleotides long. NCBI's taxonomy places the organism in Eukaryota, Metazoa, Cnidaria, Scyphozoa, Rhizostomeae, Rhizostomatidae. The record is from RefSeq and is a predicted model, not a curated record.